Molecule: small RNA, 652 nt
Filed under: Histoplasma ohiense
Lineage: Eukaryota; Fungi; Ascomycota; Eurotiomycetes; Onygenales; Ajellomycetaceae
Description: hypothetical lncRNA
Source: RNAcentral
UUACUUAUUCUCCUUGUUCUUGCGCUUCCCAAUGAGGCCAAACGCAUUUUUAAAAGUCUUCUUGCUUUCCCGCCCCUCGAUUCCCAAUGCCUGACGGGCCCAGUUUUCGACCUGUUUGCAAAUUGCGAGCGCAGCGUCGUUGACGGCUUUGGCGGAUCCGCCCAACAGCCUGAUAUUGACUUUGCCGUAUCCCCUAGUAUCUAGCUCGUCUAGAAACGAGUUUGUUUUUGUUAGAAUUUCUGAGCACUUUGGUUUGAAUUAGCGGGGGUUUUUCUCUUUUGAAAUAUCCUUACAAAACACGCCAUGCGCACUGGCAAUAUCCACAAGCUCAUUGCGGGUCUUCGCGAGAGUCGAGAUGCAAGCUAGAAGGUGAAUUGGCCUAGUUAAUGAUCUCGCUAUUUCAAGGGUGGAAAAAUGAGGCCGGCUGAUGACUUACUCUGGAGGCUGUCGAGGGAGAUGUCCUUCCAGAAGGCUCCCUGAUGGACUUUGAAAACAAAGUUAGUAUUUCUCUGGUAAUUUAUAUACUAAUACCAGUUAAAUCGCGUUUAUCUAUCUACUCACGCAUUUGCAAUUGGACUUUUGCCCCAACGAUCCCACCAGGCCAUUGCUCACGCCAGCUCACAAAAAUCUCGCCAAGGGACUCGUCGUAAGC